Molecule: ribosomal RNA, 253 nt
Filed under: uncultured bacterium
Lineage: Bacteria
Description: partial 16S ribosomal RNA
Rfam family: Bacterial small subunit ribosomal RNA
Source: RNAcentral
UACGUAGGGUGCAAGCGUUGUCCGGAAUUAUUGGGCGUAAAGAGCUCGUAGGUGGUUUGUCGCGUUGUUCGUGAAAACUCACAGCUCAACUGUGGGCGUGCGGGCGAUACGGGCAGACUUGAGUACUGCAGGGGAGACUGGAAUUCCUGGUGUAGCGGUGGAAUGCGCAGAUAUCAGGAGGAACACCGGUGGCGAAGGCGGGUCUCUGGGCAGUAACUGACGCUGAGGAGCGAAAGCGUGGGGAGCGAACAGG